CUGGGGUACUCGAGUGGCGAACGGGUGAGUAACACGUGGGUGAUCUGCCCUGCACUUCGGGAUAAGCUUGGGAAACUGGGUCUAAUACCGGAUAGGACCAUCGUUUAGUGUCGGUGGUGGAAAGUUUUUCGGUGUGGGAUGAGCUCGCGGCCUAUCAGCUUGUUGGUGGGGUAAUGGCCUACCAAGGCGUCGACGGGUAGCCGGCCUGAGAGGGUGUACGGCCACAUUGGGACUGAGAUACGGCCCAG
Molecule: ribosomal RNA, 248 nt
Filed under: uncultured Actinomycetales bacterium
Lineage: Bacteria; Bacillati; Actinomycetota; Actinomycetes; Actinomycetales
Description: partial 16S ribosomal RNA
Rfam family: Bacterial small subunit ribosomal RNA
Source: RNAcentral